UAAAACGCAGGAUCAAGAGUUAAGGCAGUGACUAAGAAACAAUAUAACAACUAGACUACCAAACCAAAUCAACACAGGACUACGAGCUAGAACACCAGACAAGACAUAAACACUAAGGAAACGAGAAGAACAGGUAGGAACAGGCCUUACCUGCUGGGGACUCAUUGUGGUUCUCCUCAUCAGAGUCAGCAAAAACUUCAGCCAGCUCCUGGUCAGACAUGUCAGUCAGCUCAGUCAGAUCCAGAAGGUCAAAGUGCACCUCCAAAGAAGACACACUACUCAGUGGUUCUACGAGGCAUAUUGACAAAACAGGGAAAGGCAGAAACAACUGCCUCUCAAAAAGCCAAUCAGGGGGAGCUCUGAGAUGCCAGGACUGACAAUAGAGAAUUCACGCUGAGACUGAAAAAAAUGACUUUUUGUCUACAGCAGAUGGAUGAUUUAAAAGACUACAACCUCUUCUUACACUAAGAUAUACAGCCUGGUGGCUUGUAAAAUUUUAUUUGUGUUUACUGAUCUAUUUUGACUCCUCCAUGAUGACAUUACAUUUUUUUAGCAUGUCCUUAAUCUCGUACUUUAUAUUCAUGGCUUUACAGUUAAUGCGUGUAAAAUAAAGUGCCCUUCAAUUUACUGAAAA
This is a long non-coding RNA of Micropterus salmoides (largemouth bass), 634 nucleotides long. RefSeq lists it as uncharacterized. The transcript is spliced from 3 exons. Lineage: Eukaryota; Metazoa; Chordata; Actinopteri; Centrarchiformes; Centrarchidae. The record is from RefSeq and is a predicted model, not a curated record.